Molecule: ribosomal RNA, 750 nt
Filed under: uncultured bacterium
Lineage: Bacteria
Description: bacterial SSU rRNA
Rfam family: Bacterial small subunit ribosomal RNA
Source: RNAcentral
GCAGUUCGAACGAGAAAGUGGAGCAACCAUGAGUAAAGUGGCGCACGGGUGAGUAACACGUGACUAACCUACCCUGGAGUGGGGGAUAACUGAGGGAAACCUUAGCUAAUACCGCAUAAUACCCACGGGUCAAAGGAGCAAUUCGCUCUGGGAGGGGGUCGCGGCCGAUUAGUUAGUUGGCGGGGUAACGGCCCACCAAGACGAUGAUCGGUAUCCGGCCUGAGAGGGCGCACGGACACACUGGAACUGAAACACGGUCCAGACUCCUACGGGAGGCAGCAGUGGGGAAUUUUGCGCAAUGGGGGAAACCCUGACGCAGCAACGCCGCGUGGAGGAUGAAGUCCCUCGGGACGUAAACUCCUUUCGAUCGGGACGAUAAUGACGGUACCGGAAGAAGAAGCCCCGGCUAACUUCGUGCCAGCAGCCGCGGUAAUACGAGGGGGGCAAGCGUUGUUCGGAAUUAUUGGGCGUAAAGGGUGCGUAGGCGGUUUGGUAAGUCUUAUGUGAAAUCUUCGGGCUCAACUCGAAGUCUGCAUGAGAAACUGCCGGGCUUGAGUGUGGGAGAGGUGAGUGGAAUUUCCGGUGUAGCGGUGAAAUGCGUAGAUAUCGGAAGGAACACCUGUGGCGAAAGCGGCUCACUGGACCAUAACUGACGCUGAUGCACGAAAGCUAGGGGAGCAAACAGGAUUAGAUACCCUGGUAGUCCUAGCCCUAAACGAUGAUCGCUUGGUGUGACGGGUACCCAAUCCC